CCUACGGGCCGCACCAGUGGGGAAUAUUGCACAAUGGGCGCAAGCCUGAUGCAGCCAUGCCGCGUGUAUGGAGAAGGCCUUAGGGCUGUAAAGCACUUUCAGUUGGGAGGAAGGCGUUGAUGCUAAUAUCAUCAGCGAUUGACGUUACCAACAGAAGAAGCACCGGCUAACUCCGUGCCAGCAGCCGCGGUAAUACGGAGGGUGCAAGCGUUAAUCGGAAUUACUGGGCGUAAAGCGCACGCAGGCGGUUGAUAAGUUAGAUGUGAAAUCCCCGGGCUUAACCUGGGAAUGGCAUCUAAGACUGGUCAGCUAGAGUCUUGUAGAGGGGGGUAGAAUCCCAUGUGUAGCGGUGAAAUGCGUAGAGAUGUGGAGGAAUACCGGUGGCGAAGGCAGCCCCCUGGACAAAGACUGACGCUCAGGUGCGAAAGCGUGGGGAGCAAACAGGAUUAGAUACCCCGGUAGUC
Molecule: ribosomal RNA, 464 nt
Filed under: uncultured bacterium
Lineage: Bacteria
Description: bacterial SSU rRNA
Rfam family: Bacterial small subunit ribosomal RNA
Source: RNAcentral